CCUGUGGACCGUUACACAAACGAAAGUAGUCUAAAGGCGAAUACGUUUUUUGACAAAAUCGGAUGGGAUGAAGCAGGAA
This 79-nucleotide non-coding RNA is filed under the name unclassified sequences. RNAcentral's name for it is "RAGATH-18 RNA". It matches the Rfam family "RAGATH-18 RNA". From Rfam's summary of the family: Actinobacteria, Firmicutes, Fusobacteria, Thermotogae (1 example). Nearby to self-cleaving ribozyme genes The record is from Rfam by way of RNAcentral.